AUUGAACGCUGGCGGCAGGCCUAACACAUGCAAGUCGAGCGGAUGAAGGGAGCUUGCUCCUGGAUUCAGCGGCGGACGGGUGAGUAAUGCCUAGGAAUCUGCCUGGUAGUGGGGGAUAACGUCCGGAAACGGGCGCUAAUACCGCAUACGUCCUGAGGGAGAAAGUGGGGGAUCUUCUGACCUCACGCUAUCAGAUGAGCCUAGGUCGGAUUAGCUAGUUGGCGGGGUAAAGGCCUACCAAGGCGACGAUCCGUAACUGGUCUGAGAGGAUGAUCAGUCACACUGGAAGUGAGACACGGUCCAGACUCCUACGGGAGGCAGCAGUGGGGAAUAUUGGACGAUGGGCGAAAGCCUGAUCCUGCCAUGCCGCGGGUGUGAAGAAGGUCUUCGGAUUGUAAAGCACUUUAAGUUGGGAGGAAGGGCAGUAAGUUAAUACCUUGCUGUUUUGACGUUACCAACAGAAUAAGCACCGGCUAACUUCGUG
This 484-nucleotide ribosomal RNA is filed under the name uncultured bacterium. RNAcentral describes it as "partial 16S ribosomal RNA". It matches the Rfam family "Bacterial small subunit ribosomal RNA", at positions 30 to 507 of the family's 1533-position model. The record is from RNAcentral.